UCGGGAAUUUUGGGCAAUGGGCGAAAGCCUGACCCAGCAACGCCGCGUGAAGGAUGAAAUCCCUCGGGAUGUAAACUUCGCAAGAACGGGAAGAAUAAGUCGGUGUUAACACCACCGGCGAUGACGGUACUGUUUGUAAGCUCCGGCUAACUCCGUG
This 157-nucleotide ribosomal RNA is filed under the name uncultured bacterium. Its description in RNAcentral is "partial 16S ribosomal RNA". It matches the Rfam family "Bacterial small subunit ribosomal RNA", at positions 355 to 507 of the family's 1533-position model. The record is from RNAcentral.